CUUGGACAUAACGCUUUCUUGCUUUUCCUUUAUUUUCAACGUGUCCUCCUCCGUCAGAUCUUGUUUCUUGGGACAAAAAGAGAUAUUUUUAGACCCUGCACCGCCAUGGAACAUUCAAGUCGACUCGGGAUUUACAUUGUCAUGACUGCGGUGUCGGUCAGAGGUAUGGAACUCAUGAUGGACUCCCGAUGACCUCCUGAUUUCAACGGCACUCCUGUGUAAUGAAAGGGAAAGAUGCAUGGGCGAGUCAUAAAUCUCUAGUACGAUAAAACAGGGGUAAUCAGAGUGAAUACCUUCCCCCAUCCCUGGUGGCAUGGAAUGAGGCGGAGGUCCAUUUUCGUCAUCUUCGAGCUGCCGACCUGGAAAAUUCUGCAGUUUCGCUUCUAUUGUACUCUUGUACAAAAGUCUCUUCGAUUAUCUCUCCUAGGCAACCAAAUUUUUCAAGCUCAUCUGUACUGCUGUCGUCUAGCUACAUUUGGAAAUGAGUGGUUUAGGUACAUUAUACCUGAGGGGAGAAAAUUAAUUUGACAAGAUAAGUUUUAUUAUCAUACCUGAAGGAUGUGUGGCUCCGAAUAACCGUCUCGAGAUUUAGAAUUACUUGUUGGAUAAUGCGGCGAUCUCGGACUCUUGGAAUUUAUCGAAGAAUCAGGUGUAUCGCCCUGCUCCCCUUGAUACAGUGGGUGUAAAGGUAUC
Athalia rosae (coleseed sawfly) is the source of this 693-nucleotide long non-coding RNA. RefSeq lists it as uncharacterized. The record is from RefSeq and is a predicted model, not a curated record. NCBI's taxonomy places the organism in Eukaryota, Metazoa, Arthropoda, Insecta, Hymenoptera, Athaliidae. The transcript has 3 exons.